UACGAGGGGUGCAAGCGUUGCUCGGAAUUAUGGGGCGUAAAGGGUAGGUAGGUGGUCUCAUGUGUCCGGGGUGAAAGCCUUGAGCUUAACUCAAGAAGUGCCCCGGAAACGGUGAGACUCGAGUACUGGAGAGGGUCGUGGAAUUCCCGGUGUAGCGGUGAAAUGCGUAGAGAUCGGGAGGAACACCAGAGGCGAAGGCGGCGACCUGGACAGUUACUGACACUCAACUACGAAAGCGUGGGGAGCAAACAGG
RNAcentral lists this ribosomal RNA (253 nucleotides) under uncultured bacterium. Its description in RNAcentral is "partial 16S ribosomal RNA". It matches the Rfam family "Bacterial small subunit ribosomal RNA", at positions 524 to 776 of the family's 1533-position model. The record is from RNAcentral.